UACGUAGGGUGCGAGCGUUGUCCGGAAUUAUUGGGCGUAAAGAGCUUGUAGGCGGUUUGUCGCGUCUGCUGUGAAAAUCCGGGGCUCAACCCCGGACUUGCAGUGGGUACGGGCAGACUAGAGUGUGGUAGGGAGACUGGAAUUCCUGGUGUAGCGGUGAAAUGCGCAGAUAUCAGGAGGAACACCGAUGGCGAAGGCAGGUCUCUGGGCCACUACUGACGCUGAGAAGCGAAAGCAUGGGAGCGAACAGG
RNAcentral lists this ribosomal RNA (251 nucleotides) under uncultured bacterium. Its description in RNAcentral is "partial 16S ribosomal RNA". It matches the Rfam family "Bacterial small subunit ribosomal RNA", at positions 524 to 776 of the family's 1533-position model. The record is from RNAcentral.